UGUUGCUCAGGCUGGAGUGCAAUGGCAUGAUCUCGGCUCAUCACAACCUCUGCUUCCUGGGUUCAAGCGAUUCUCCUGCCUCAGCCUCCCGAGUACCUGGGACUACAGGCACUCGCCACCAUGCCCGGCUGAUUUUUGUAUUUUUAAUAGAGAUGGUUUCACUAUGUUGGCCAGGCUGGUCUCGAACUCCUGACCUUGUGAUCUGCCCACCUCAGCCUCGAAAAGUGCUGGGAUUACAGGCGUGAGCCACUGCGCCCAGCCUUGUAUUUUUUUUCAGUUUGGGUAGCUGUCCCUAAUUCAUUUGUUAAAGGAGAAGCAAGAGCAAGAACCUUUAAUCUGUUCUCCUCUUCCCUAAUUUGAAAGUAGCUUGUUAUUUUGAAUAUCACUUUCUCUGAAAUAGCACAUCUCCAUCUCAGAGAAUGGAUUUAAUGUUUGGAUACAGCCAAAAGUCAUUUCAUUACCAAACCAUGGGGUGAAUAUACCAUGUAAAGCAGUUUGGGAUCAGAACUCACAGUCUGAAUUGUAAGUGAUGAGACUGCUGUCUCUCUGCUACAGCUUCUUGGCUGGCUCUGAAGGCUCUUUGAAGGCAGAUCCUAACAAGGGGACUGCUUUGAAGGGCCAUUGUUCAUUUGGAAUGAUAAAGUCUAUGUUGUUCAAAAAACAAAUGCUUGUAGCAGGUAUUUUUUCACUCCAGACUGAGAAUAUUGGUGGGAUAUUGAUAAGGGGUACUGAAUGGUAAUAAACAUGUGCUCUAGCUCUGUGCUAGUCAGCUUAUUUCAGAACUCUAGUUUGAUUCAGUUUCUUGCCUCUGACUCAAAAUGGAGGGAGAGUGAUUUUUACAUAAGAGAACACACCCACAUAUCCUUUUGGCAGCAGCUACCUGCCAGAGAUGUUGAAGAAGAGUAGCCAACCUUUACACAGCAGAUAUUGUGUGCCAGUCAUAGUCCUAAGUAUAAUACCUUACAUGUAUAAACUUCUUAUAAGGUUGGUGCUCUGUACCGAAUUGAAUAGUAUCCCCCAAAAUUCAUGUUGUCCCAGAACCUAUGAAAGUGAUCUUACUUGAGGGAGGGGGGAGGGGGGAGGGAUAGCAUU
Molecule: long non-coding RNA, 1092 nt
Filed under: Homo sapiens (human)
Lineage: Eukaryota; Metazoa; Chordata; Mammalia; Primates; Hominidae
Description: non-protein coding PCBP1-AS1:177
Source: RNAcentral